Sesamum indicum (sesame) is the source of this 1594-nucleotide non-coding RNA. NCBI's taxonomy places the organism in Eukaryota, Viridiplantae, Streptophyta, Magnoliopsida, Lamiales, Pedaliaceae. The record is from RefSeq and is a predicted model, not a curated record.
AUUAUACAUCUAAGCUGCCCCAAAAGCUGGCGUACUAAUCGUUCAGGCUGCAUGGAUUCUUGCUGGAAACGCGGCCUAUUUCGUUCCAUCCAAAGAUGAUAAACAAAGGAAGCAAGAACUGCUCUUGCUGCCGCAUUGAGGAGAUGUUUAACUGGCCACCGUCGGCUAGCAUUCAUGUAUUCCAAUCUGCCAAGUCCUACCUAUCCAAUAAAAGUUGAUUUCCACUUUAAGUAGUUGUAAGCAUUGCUGGGCGUAAGCACAAGAAAAUAAAAGAUGGUCAUGAUUUUCCAUGGAGUUGCUAGAGCAAAGGACACAAUUCCGUGAUAAAAGUUGCAGCCACGGUAUAUCCGCACGUUCCAGAAUGGCUAGCCACAGAAUAAAACCAUUCCUCGCAAUCUUGAAAGGUCCUUGAAAUAAAGAGAACCAUGGGACUUUGGCGCUUGGAGGGUGAAAAAGAGCGUAUGCCUCACAAGUAUUGAAAACAGUGUGUUUCCCUUUCCAACGUACCGAAUCCGCACCCCCAUAUAUUUGACUCAACUAGGUCAGAACUGCGAGCUGGUGGCCAAUGCCAUUCUCCAUUCUCAAGUACAACAUUCACCUUCGCACACGGGUCGAAACCUGUGAUCAAGGGGAGGGUUGGCCAUCUAUUCAACAAAACUCCUGUUGGGUGCCAUGGAUCGCCCAAAGUACCAAGAGCCUGAAGAAAGCGAUACUGUCCAAAUAGUUUUCCACCGCAGUUUGUACCCAUUUCACCCGUAGAGACUCGUUAUUAGGGGUGAUGAUGUUCCACAAAUAACGCAGCAUGAGUGAAAGAUUAACAGAUUCCACACUGUGAAUUCCCAAUCCUCCUUGGUCCUUGGCGCGGCAGACUUGUGCCCAGCCGACCUUUGCACAACCCCUAUCGCUGAGUCCCUUCUAUAAGAAUGUCCUGAGAAGACUUUCAAUAUGUCGAGUAAUGCCCUUUGGCAAGAUAAAAAGCUUGCCCCCAAUAGUAAUACAUGGCUGUAAGGACAGAUUUAAUUAGCUGAGCUUUAGCUGCGAAGGAUAGUCCCCUGCUCCCGUAUGAGCCUAUUCUAUCUUCAAUCUUUUUGAUGAGUGGUUGAUAGUUGCUAUUCGUGAGUCUUGAGGAGGUAAGUGGUACUCCCAGAUACUUUACAGGAAAGGAGCCUAAAGGAAACCCCAUCACUCCCAGGAGCUCCUGCUGGUGAGGUACUGCAGACUUAGAAAGAAGGAUCUGGCUUUUCUGUCCAGAUAAUGCAGCAAAUCCAUCAAGAGCAUGUUUGAAAAACCAUCAGUGAUUCCAUGGAUGCUUUGCUAAACAUCAAAAGGUCGUCAGUGAAGCAAAGGAUAGUCAAGGAGAUCUCCUUACAACGUCAGUGGUAGGAAAAAUUUGAACUAGACUGGAUCUUGGCUUUAACGGAUAGAUGAACAACUUCCAUACAAGAACAAAAGUAUAAGGAGAUAGGGGAUCUCCCUGUCUUAAGCCACGAGUGCCUCGAAAGUAGCCAUGUAGCUCACCGUGUAUUGAGAUUGAGUAGCUUGCACAAGUGAUGCACUCCAUUAUCCAAUGAAUAUACAAUGGUGGGAAUUUGAA